AAAAUACGACUCUCGGCAACGGAUAUCUCGGCUCUCGCAUCGAUGAAGAACGUAGCGAAAUGCGAUACUUGGUGUGAAUUGCAGAAUCCCGUGAACCAUCGAGUCUUUGAACGCAAGUUGCGCCCGAAGCCGUCAGGCCGAGGGCACGUCUGCCUGGGCGUCACGCAUCGCGU
This 173-nucleotide ribosomal RNA is filed under the name Ipomoea lacunosa (white morning-glory). Its description in RNAcentral is "5.8S ribosomal RNA". It matches the Rfam family "5.8S ribosomal RNA". Rfam says of the family: 5.8S ribosomal RNA (5.8S rRNA) is a component of the large subunit of the eukaryotic ribosome. It is transcribed by RNA polymerase I as part of the 45S precursor that also contains 18S and 28S rRNA. Functionally, it is thought that 5.8S rRNA may be involved in ribosome translocation. The record is from RNAcentral. Lineage: Eukaryota; Viridiplantae; Streptophyta; Magnoliopsida; Solanales; Convolvulaceae.